GAUGAACGCUGGCGGCGUGCCUAAUACAUGCAAGUCGAGCGAACAGACGAGGAGCUUGCUCCUCUGACGUUAGCGGCGGACGGGUGAGUAACACGUGGAUAACCUACCUAUAAGCCUGGGAUAACUUCGGGAAACGGUAGCUAAUACCGCAUAAUAUUAUAAAUCGCAUGGUUCAAUAGUAAAGGAUGCUUUUGCUGCCAUUCAAGAUGGAACCCCCGUCGAUUUGGUAGUUGGUGAAGGUAAGGGCUAACAAAGGCAACAAUGCGAACCCGACCUGGAAGGGUGAUCGGCAACACUGGAACGGAGACACGGUCCAGACCCCUACGGGAGGAGGCAGAAGGGAAUCUUGCGAAAGGGGCGAAAGCUGGACGGGGCAAGGCCGCGUGAGUGAUGAAGGUCUUCGGAUCGUAAAACUCUGUUAUUAGGGAAGAACAAUUGUGUAAGGAACUAUGCACGUCUUGACGGUACCUAAUCAGAAAGCCACGGCUAACUACGUG
This 497-nucleotide ribosomal RNA is filed under the name uncultured bacterium. RNAcentral describes it as "partial 16S ribosomal RNA". It matches the Rfam family "Bacterial small subunit ribosomal RNA", at positions 28 to 507 of the family's 1533-position model. The record is from RNAcentral.